CGGGCCUCCGAUUUAUGUGCACAUGUAAUUUGUUUGGUCGCUCGGUGGGAAGGUCAACCGCAACGAAAACUAAGCAAGUGGCUGCCACUUUCGAUAAAAGUUUCACUCGCGAUCGCGCGCUGCGUAAUUGAUAUUUAAAUGCAUAAAUAUGUACAUUCAUUAUUCCGGAUGCAUAGGUUACUAGUGUCAAAGCUGGAGGUGUUGGUUAUUGGGCAUUGAGUCUUUUGCGUCUCUGCCUUCGGCAUUCUAAGACGAGGAGAAAUCGCUGAGACUGAGAGUUGAACUUACAUAACACCGGAUCAGUAAGUUGGCCAAAAAACAUGAAACUCGUCUGGAUUACGGAAAAGGCAAUGAAAGUAAAAUACCGAAAAAGCACACACAUUCAUACCUGUGCAAGGGCAAAGAGAUACAAGAGAAGCGACAACAACAAACGCCGGAGAAAGACAAGUCUCCAGGGGAGAAAGAAAUUGCUGCGCGAAAUAUAGUCGCCAAGGAUGGGAUGGGCCCACCACAGACUGGACAGCGUAAAAAAAAAGUAACCAAACACAAAGCAGGAAGAAGCAAAAAGUCUUGCAUGACGAGAUUGAUUGCGUUCAUAAAUACAAAUUAUGAAAUUGAAA
Drosophila biarmipes is the source of this 620-nucleotide long non-coding RNA. RefSeq lists it as uncharacterized. The record is from RefSeq and is a predicted model, not a curated record. The transcript is spliced from 2 exons. NCBI's taxonomy places the organism in Eukaryota, Metazoa, Arthropoda, Insecta, Diptera, Drosophilidae.